GGUUUUGGAUGGACUCGCGGCCUAUCAGCUUGUUGGUGGGGUAAUGGCCUACCAAGGCGACGACGGGUAGCCGGCCUGAGAGGGUGACCGGCCACACUGGGACUGAGACACGGCCCAGACUCCUACGGGAGGCAGCAGUGGGGAAUAUUGCACAAUGGGCGCAAGCCUGAUGCAGCGACGCCGCGUGAGGGAUGACGGCCUUCGGGUUGUAAACCUCUUUCAGUAGGGAAGAAGCGAGAGUGACGGUACCUGCAGAAGAAGCGCCGGCUAACUACGUGCCAGCAGCCGCGGUAAUACGUAGGGCGCAAGCGUUAUCCGGAAUUAUUGGGCGUAAAGAGCUCGUAGGCGGUUUGUCGCGUCUGCCGUGAAAGUCCGGGGCUCAACUCCGGAUCUGCGGUGGGUACGGGCAGACUAGAGUGAUGUAGGGGAGACUGGAAUUCCUGGUGUAGCGGUGAAAUGCGCAGAUAUCAGGAGGAACACCGAUGGCGAAGGCAGGUCUCUGGGCAUUAACUGACGCUGAGGAGCGAAAGCAUGGGGAGCGAACAGGAUUAGAUACCCUGGUAGUCCAUGCCGUAAACGUUGGGCACUAGGUGUGGGGGACAUUCCACGUUUUCCGCGCCGUAGC
RNAcentral lists this ribosomal RNA (625 nucleotides) under Micrococcaceae bacterium. RNAcentral describes it as "bacterial SSU rRNA". It matches the Rfam family "Bacterial small subunit ribosomal RNA", at positions 217 to 852 of the family's 1533-position model. The record is from RNAcentral. Lineage: Bacteria; Bacillati; Actinomycetota; Actinomycetes; Micrococcales; Micrococcaceae.